RNAcentral lists this small RNA (90 nucleotides) under Salmonella enterica. RNAcentral's name for it is "partial RtT sRNA". It matches the Rfam family "RtT RNA", at positions 1 to 86 of the family's 130-position model. From Rfam's summary of the family: This family represents a bacterial cis-regulatory element known as RtT RNA. The exact function of RtT is unknown although it is thought that it may be involved in changing the cellular response in relation to amino acid starvation. The record is from RNAcentral. Lineage: Bacteria; Pseudomonadati; Pseudomonadota; Gammaproteobacteria; Enterobacterales; Enterobacteriaceae.
UGUAUCUGAAGUCUGAUGAGGAUGAGAACCUCCGGGGGCAAGAGGUUCGACUCGAGCGAAGCGAGAGAACGUUGCGUCAGCAACGGCCCG